RNAcentral lists this ribosomal RNA (758 nucleotides) under Poecilosclerida sp. 7 JV-2020. RNAcentral describes it as "partial large subunit ribosomal RNA". It matches the Rfam family "Eukaryotic large subunit ribosomal RNA", at positions 381 to 932 of the family's 3401-position model. The record is from RNAcentral. Lineage: Eukaryota; Metazoa; Porifera; Demospongiae; Poecilosclerida.
AAGAGAGUCAAAAAGACCGCGAAACCGUUAGGAGGGAAACGAAUGCGGCUGAAGUGGCUCCCCGUCAGGCUCAGGAGACGUCGUGGCGGUUCCCGUCGGGUCGCGGUUGCUCGCCGCGGCAAGUCUGGCCGUCCGACCACUCUGCACUUCUGCGGGGAGCCGGCCAACGGCAGUCGCUCCCGGCCCAGGAGGGCGUCGGGGCAGGUGGCUCCGCGUUCGCGUGGGGAACUUAUAGCCCGGCGCCUGGACGUUCCGGGGGCGACUGAGGAGAGUUGCGAGUCUCGCACGUUGCAGCGCAGGCCCCCCUCGUUGGGGGCUGGGCCGCUCUUGUCGGGCAGGCAGCCGAGGCGGUCACUGCGUGCAGUGGCAGUCGACGGUCCUGCGGGCCGGGCGGGAGGCCGGUCGCACCUUGCGCUGCGGUCGUUGGUGCCCGAAUGGCCGCAUCCGACCCGUCUUGAAACACGGACCAAGGAGUGCAACAUGCGUGCGAGUCUCUGGGUGGCAAACCCGUGGGCGCAAUGAAGGUGAAGGCGGUGCCUCUGGCCCGCUGUGGCGAGAGCCCCUCCCCGCGGGGGGCGCAUCGUCGACCGUUCCCGAGUCACGCUGUGGCGGGAUAUGAGUGAGAGCGUGCCUGUUGCGACCCGAAAGAUGGUGAACUAUGCCUGAAUAGGGUGAAGCCAGAAGAAAUUCUGGUGGAAGCUCGUAGCGAUUCUGACGUGCAAAUCGAUCGUCAAAUUUGGGUAUAGGGGCGAAAGACU